UUUAAUGAAGAUAUUGCCUCACAGUUUGAGAACAACCAAAGUGAGUUCCAAAUCUAGAAUAAGGAAGUCUUCCUCUAAAUGAUUAGGUAGAAAGGGAGAUGAUGCUCAGCUAUCAAUGAGUAGGAUGCAGACUCAGACCUAAAGCACAAGAGUAGAGAGGGAGGCCUGUGUCUUCCUUUCCUGAAACAGCUCAGGAUACACGAAUCCUGGUGCUUAGAAAUGGCAAAACUGGCCCCUCUGCAAAGAAGUAGCCCAGAGGUUGUGAAUGUCAUAGAUUAUUCUGUAUCCAUGUCCUAGGAAUUCUGAAGAAUGAUAAGCAUCUCUAUGUAAGACAGAAGCAGAAGAAACCAGUUGGCAAACAUUCUAACCUGGGCUAUUCUUUCAUUUGCAGGGUUUUUGCAGUGCCAGGUGUGGAUUGAGAUUCAGCCUUUGUAAGACUUACUCACUGAAAACAGGAAUUUGCUUGGUUCCAAGAACAAAGUGUGCUUUGUACACUUGCUGGUGCCAUUUGUGGCUGAGAAGAACUUUCUCGGAUUGCUUUGGAAUGAUGAAGAGUGUGUCUCUCAUCCAAGAACUGAAAUGAUACCUUCAGGUGAGUCCAGAGUCCAAAUCCUCAAAGGAGGGAUUUAGGAAAGCAUUCGAGAGGAUCAGGUUUAAACCAAACAAUCCCUUAAGAAGAAAUUCCAUUCAAGUUCUUUCUUUAAAACAGGAAAUUAAACAGAGUCAUUAUAAGGCAAACUCAAGAGAGUGGUAGCACCAUCCCUCCCAACUGUUAGUUGCAUGAAUUUCAUUUUGGGUCAUCUGUGAAUCGAAACUAUUUAAAUUUGACCCUGUUAACCACAGCUCUUUUAAAGUAC
Molecule: long non-coding RNA, 857 nt
Filed under: Macaca mulatta (Rhesus monkey)
Lineage: Eukaryota; Metazoa; Chordata; Mammalia; Primates; Cercopithecidae
Description: lncRNA (ENSMMUG00000059293.1)
Source: RNAcentral